This is a non-coding RNA of Podarcis lilfordi (Lilford's wall lizard), 1158 nucleotides long. The record is from the annotation of a GenBank genome assembly. NCBI's taxonomy places the organism in Eukaryota, Metazoa, Chordata, Lepidosauria, Squamata, Lacertidae.
GCGGUAGUUUGGUUGCCUAGCGGUUGCCAUCACGUGGUAUGCCACAUCUUGCUUACAGAGAAGGCACAAUUUGUGCUGCUUCUCUCUUUGGUUAUCUCAGAGCCUCCCCUUGCAGAGAUGAGAGAGAGAGAAAUGAUGUCAAGAAUCUGGUGGCUGCAGGAGAUGAGAGUUGGAGGGAGCAGGGUGCCAGGUGCCACAUCAACCCGACACCGCUCCUGGUGAGUGAAAUAGGGCUGGGUCAGGGAGAAAGUUCAGGAGGAGGGAGAUCAAUUCAUGGUCUCAUUCUCCAGUUGCAAAAUUUAUAAUGCUUCAAGUGUCCCUGCUUCCAUUUCCCCCCUCUCUGCUUUACAUACACCCACCUCCCAUUUUAGGACCUCUCUUCAGGCUGCAUGCCCACUUCAUCAAGCCAAACAAUGGCACUUUUCAGCUUGUGAUCUGGUGAGCUACAAGGGGGAAAAGCUGUGCUGAAUGAACCCUAUGUGUGGCAGAGUAGAUUUGGGGGGCAUGGAGAAGGGUGGAGAAGGAAUUGUAGCGGUUUGUGUUCCAAACAUGUAUAGAGUAGCCAGGAAUAUCUUCUGGGUAGUCAACAAUAGCAGGUGAAAGAAAGUAGAACGUGACAGAAAUAAAAGAUUGAAACAUGUGAAAAGAGAAGAUAGAAGUCAGGGGAAAGGAAAAGACAGCUGGUGACAGAGGAUUGUGAAAGAGGACAGAGUGGCAACAGAUAAAGGAGUAGGAAUAUUCAAGUAAGAAGGCAGAAGGGAAGCGGAGAGAAGGUGAGAAAACAAAGGCAAGGCAGGUGAUAUGGGAACAAAAAGUGCUAUAAAAAGGCGCUGCCAGAAAUAAAAGUGGCAAAAGUAAGAGGAGAUGCAGAAAGCUGAACCUUCUUGGAUGUUUUUUUCGGUAGAAAAAUGCAAACAUAAUGCUGAUGAUUACUUGCCCUUUUGCUCAACAUCAAAGACAGCCUUCAAUGAAGAAGAAGAAACCCGGAAAGCAAAAAUAGGAUACGACUGGUUAAAGGGUCCAAAAGCUUCACCAACAAUAGACGAGCAAUUAUUAAAAUUGUCACUUAAUUAUACAUACGUGUUCAGAAACAGGAGCCGUUACUCCCAUUACUUCAAGUAUUAGUUGUAAAGGUAUUGAACCUACCACCUAGUAAAU